CUUACGACAUGUAUGCGGUUGAACGGGUGACAUGUUUAGCGCCUUGUUCUGCAGUGCAACUACUCACUAAAUUUUUUUAUUAUCACGCUAUAAAAAUAUAGUUAGAUGUCUGAAAUAGUAACGAUCAAACACGUAAAGCGCUAAAUUUCGCACUUUUUGAAGAUAUAUCUCUUUUCGUUGGCUAUCAAAUACAAAAACUAGAUGGCGUUGGUGUUUCCCCAAAUAAUGACUGAUUGCUUGUAACUAGUGAAAUCGAUGUCUGUUAAUUUUCUUAACUGUGUGUGGUGUGCUUCAAAGAAAUAUUCAUCUAAAAAUUAACAGUUGUCUUUCAUAUGUGACAGUUCCGAUUGUUAUCAGCUAUGCCAGCUGCUCAGCUAGGAAAUUGUAGGCUAUCUAUACUUUUGCUUUUUAUCAUGCCAUUUACUCAUGUAAAAGGCUUGUUGUACUUAACGCUGGAGCUUGAAUGCUUGAUACUGAAGCUUGAAUGUCAAUAGUUUUCAUCUAAUUAGUGUUAUCAGACAUUGAUCAUCAAUGUUUCAUGUAAACAAUCUUCUCUAUUUUGCAUGCAAGAAAAAUUUGCUUUAGCACCACUGCAUUACGGUGAACCAUGAGCAGGCGUGUGACUAGUUCAACUUCGUGUUCCAACAUUCACCGUCGUCCUCAUCUUUGUGACUAAACCGACCAACAUUCACCUAUCUGAACGUCAUCGCUUCAUUAUGAGAUUGCCAAUGGUAAACAAAUAAUUCCUGAUCUUCCCCUUUUCUUCCGCCUCAUCAUCUUCAUCUCAUCGUCUUCAAGCUGGUCGUCUUUGCCUUACAGCUUUUAACCUGGUCGUCUUGGCUUCGCCGCCUUUAACCUGGUCGUCUUCGCCUCGCCGCCUUUUACCUGGUCGUCUUCGCCUUGCCGUUUUCGCCUGACCUUCUCCAUCUCGUCGAUUUGUCGCAUCGUCUUGGAUCUCGCCUGUCUUUGCCUCAUCGCCGUCGUCGUGGAGCCUCGUGUUUUUGGUAUUGUUUUGUAUUGUAUUGUUGUAUAAUGCAUGUUGUAAGUUAACCCGUUGGCUGCCACCCAUUUUUCUCCCCUUUUUUUUUUAGUUGUAGGGACCGGCGGCGCUGUUCUACCCCAUGGCUGAUCGACCAUGGGGUGGGGCAGUCGCCUUGCGCCUUAGGGCGCCGUAGGCAAUGCACCAGUAGGGACUUCCCCUUGUCGAUGCGAUGGUGGAGUACCUGGGGUGUGCAUUCCCGUAAAGGUCUCCAUUGUCAAGUCAGCCCGGACUUGUCUUCGGAUAAGUCCCCCUUUCAUCGAAUCCCUCAGAAACGAUGCGUAGCGAUUGUAGUAGAACAACCUACGGGUUGUAAUGGCUUGGCAGCCAACGGGUUAACUUAGUGUUUGUGUAUAUGUGUAUGUAUUGUAUAACUUGUAAUGUAUUGAAUAACAUGUAAUGUAAAAUAGUGGUGGAAUUGUGGGUGGAGGUGGGAUAAUACAAAAUCAAUUCCUUUUA
This is a long non-coding RNA of Daphnia magna, 1498 nucleotides long. RefSeq lists it as uncharacterized. The transcript is spliced from 6 exons. NCBI's taxonomy places the organism in Eukaryota, Metazoa, Arthropoda, Branchiopoda, Diplostraca, Daphniidae. The record is from RefSeq and is a predicted model, not a curated record.